Pundamilia nyererei is the source of this 1169-nucleotide long non-coding RNA. RefSeq lists it as uncharacterized. The record is from RefSeq and is a predicted model, not a curated record. Lineage: Eukaryota; Metazoa; Chordata; Actinopteri; Cichliformes; Cichlidae. The transcript has 2 exons.
UGUGCUAACGGUGGUGCCGGUGGGGGCGGACUCUUGAAGCACUUAACUUUCUGACCGGUGUUCAGUGUGACACAGAUAUGUUAGCCUUGCUGCUCGUCCUCGCUGCUUUUACCCGUUUGUCUGCAGAUGUCCAGCCUGUUUUAGGAAACUCCUUCACGUUUCCACAAAACUGCACGAACGACGAAGAAGGAAAACUGCUCCGGGCUGAGCCCCAUGGGGAGGUGGACGUGGCCGUCCGUCCACCAGCGCGGUGUGUGGACACCCGCCCGGGGCUACCGAGGCCGGAUCUUUCGAAACUCGUCCAUUUUGUUCAGGCGCAUAUUUUACAAUGACAGUGGCUUUUAUUUAUUAAGAUGCGACAGCCGGGAGAUGCGCAUCCAGGUUACAGUUCUGGUUCCCUUCAAUGUCACCGUGAAAGAGGGAGAAAAAGCGUCGCUGCCGUGUUACUUUUCAACUGCCGACAACAAGUGUGUCUCUGCACGGUGGGAGAUGAAUCAGCAAGUUGUGUUUGAGUGGAAUUCCUGCAAAGACGAAGAUAACGGGACUGCUGAUGGAAGACUCUCUGGAGACUUUUCCUUAAAUCUGCCACAUGCGAGGAAGGAACAUCGUGGGUAUUAUUUCUGCUAUAAACAAAAUGAAGACUGAGAGAAAGAGAGGGAUCCAUCUGUCGUGAGGCUGAAAGUCAAGAUGAGAUGCCCUGAUAACACCCAGAAGUGCCGACAAAGAAAACGGGACAAACGACAAGAAACCUGAGUAGCUGUCAGCAGAGGAGGAACUUUGGUGCCAGCCUGGAGAAGUUCACUUUCCAGUCAGUCCUGUGGAGGACAUUUGGAUUCUCGGCCUUAUGUGCUGGAUCAGGGGCGAUUAGGAUCAGAGCUUUGGGGGUGCUGAGCACCAGGAGAGCUGCCCAGCCAGACAAGACAAACUUCACUUGUCACAAUGAGACUUCUUCCCCAUCUCUGUCAGUCCCUGCAUCCUUAAAUGUCUCCAGUUGUCCUAAGUUCUCUAGAACUGUCACUUUGAUGCAUUUAAACCCCUGUUCCUCUCUGUUAUCAGUCAUCAGUGGCGUGCACAGACAUUUUGGGGGGCAAGUGCUCCAGGGGGGAAAAAGGGCACUUUUUGCAUAUGUGGAAAACCUUUUCUUUUUAUAAUAAAAAAAUCGCACAGGU